GCGCUGGUGCUGGAACUGGCAGACAGGCAUGGUUGAGGGCCAUGUGCCGCAAGGCGUGGAGGUUCAAGUCCUCUCCAGCGCAC
This 83-nucleotide transfer RNA is filed under the name Anaerolineaceae bacterium. RNAcentral describes it as "tRNA-Leu". The record is from RNAcentral. Lineage: Bacteria; Bacillati; Chloroflexota; Anaerolineae; Anaerolineales; Anaerolineaceae.